RNAcentral lists this ribosomal RNA (876 nucleotides) under Triticum aestivum (bread wheat). Its description in RNAcentral is "partial small subunit ribosomal RNA". The record is from RNAcentral. Lineage: Eukaryota; Viridiplantae; Streptophyta; Magnoliopsida; Poales; Poaceae.
AUGACGUCAGAGGAGUCCCUAUGGGCACUAUACGAGCGCUGGUGUGAGCAUCACAAUGUGAGGCGCGACCUUGGUGACAAGGCCAUGCGCUUCAGCGUAUUCAAGGAGAACGCUCGCAUGAUCCACAAAUUCAACCAAGGUGACGCACCCUACAAGCUAAGCCUCAACCUCUUUGGUGACAUGACCAACGAAGAAGAGGUUGACCACAUGCACGGUCGCUGCUCUGACCGCGUGUCAGAUGGCGGGAAGCGACGCCAAGGCCGGUUCACACACGGUGCCGUUGCAGCGUGCAACGACUUCCUGAUGUUCGUAGAUUGGCGGAUGAUAGGGUAUGACGAACGUCCGCCGGCAGUGACAAACGUGAAGAUCCAGAGAGGGUGCGGACCUUGUUGGGCCUUUGCGGGGGCGGCGGCAGUGGAGGGCAUCAAUUCCAUAAGGACCAGGAGUCUGAAGUCGUUGUCCGUGCAGCAGCUCAUAGACUGUGACAAGAGAAGUUUUGGAUGUCGUAACGGCAGAGUGGCAUCGGCCUUCAAGUACAUUAUCGACAACGGCGGCAUCGCCACAGAGGCUGACUACCCAUACAUUGCCGGUGAGCAUGGCUAUUGCUUGGUGCCAAAAAGAAAGAACCCCGUUGUCACCAUCGACGACUUCAAAUGGGUGCCGAAUAAUGAUGAGGUGGCAUUGCUGCAGGCGGUGGCGGCCCAACCCGUCGUUGUGGUGGUUGACACAAGGAGCUUCCGACGUUAUGGAGGAGGUGUCUUUGUGGGUCCGUGUGGGACGAAUCAGACCCAUGGAAUGAUGGUGGUGGGCUAUGGCACCACCGAUGAGGAUGAUCCCAAGAAACGCAUAGAUUACUGGAUAAUAAAAAACUCAUGA